GCAUAUCAAUAAGCGGAGGAAAAGAAACCAACAGGGAUUGCUCUAGUAACGGCGAGUGAAGCAGCAAUAGCUCAAAUUUGAAAUCUGGCGUCUUCGGCGUCCGAGUUGUAAUUUGUAGAGGAUGCUUCUGGGCAGCCACCGACCUAAGUUCCUUGGAACAGGACGUCAUAGAGGGUGAGAAUCCCGUAUGCGGUCGGAAAGGCACCCUACACGUAGCUCCUUCGACGAGUCGAGUUGUUUGGGAAUGCAGCUCUAAAUGGGAGGUAAAUUUCUUCUAAAGCUAAAUAUUGGCCAGAGACCGAUAGCGCACAAGUAGAGUGAUCGAAAGAUGAAAAGCACUUUGGAAAGAGAGUUAAAAAGCACGUGAAAUUGUUGAAAGGGAAGGGAUUGCAACCAGACUUGCUCGCGGUGUUCCGCCGGUCUUCUGACCGGUCUACUCGCCGCGUUGCAGGCCAGCAUCGUCUGGUGCCGCUGGAUAAGACUUGAGGAAUGUAGCUCCCUCGGGAGUGUUAUAGCCUCUUGUGAUGCAGCGAGCGCCGGGCGAGGUCCGCGCUUCGGCUAGGAUGCUGGCGUAAUGGUUGUAAUCCGCCCGUCUUGAAACACGGACCAAGGAGUCUAACAUCUAUGCGAGUGUUCGGGUGUCAAACCCCUACGCGUAAUGAAAGUGAACGGAGGUGAGAACCGCAAGGUGCAUCAUCGACCGAUCCUGAUGUCUUCGGAUGGAUUUGAGUAUGAGCAUAGCUGUUGGGACCCGAAAGAUGGUGAACUAUGCCUGAAUAGGGUGAAGCCAGAGGAAACUCUGGUGGAGGCUCGCAGCGGUUCUGACGUGCAAAUCGAUCGUCAAAUUUGGGUAUAGGGGCGAAAGACUAAUCGAACCAUCUAGUAGCUGGUUCCUGCCGA
Molecule: ribosomal RNA, 900 nt
Filed under: Cladosporium halotolerans
Lineage: Eukaryota; Fungi; Ascomycota; Dothideomycetes; Cladosporiales; Cladosporiaceae
Description: LSU rRNA
Rfam family: Eukaryotic large subunit ribosomal RNA
Source: RNAcentral